RNAcentral lists this long non-coding RNA (1364 nucleotides) under Homo sapiens (human). Its description in RNAcentral is "HSALNT0112793". The record is from RNAcentral. Lineage: Eukaryota; Metazoa; Chordata; Mammalia; Primates; Hominidae.
CCUGUGUGGGGAGGCUCUUUGAUUCCUGGGGAGGAAGGCUAGAGAACAGGCAGCUCUUUUCUCUCUGCUAGAAAAGAGGAGGCGGCUCCUCACAAGGUUCCUUCCCACAGCUGAGCACUGCCCACAGCUGCCCUUGCCCCUGCCUUUCCACGUUGCACAAGCCCAGCGCACGGUACCCACUGGAUAUGCCCGAGGCCUCCAGAGGAAAGGAAAGGAGGAAAAGGGACAGAAGAAAUGUUCACAGGAACUGCAUAUGGGCCUGCUACUUGUGUCAAAAUGUGACUGAACUCUCUUCCAGCAGGUGUGGGGAAAAGAGUGACUUCACCUUAAAUGUUAACCUGCCAUGUAACUUCUGACUAAUCCCAGGUCCAGAAAUGCCUCCAAAUGUCUCGUUGCUGUAUUACUCUUUAUGUGGAAACACCUGUUCACUGCUAUUUCACUGAACUGAAGCAGUCAAAAGAGAAUGCUCAUGAGAUCCCAUCACCACCACUUUACCGAACUACUUCCAUAUUGUGAAUCCCUGGAAGGCAAGAUCGCCAUUCUGGUCUCUUGUGGAUAUCAAUGCUGAUCUCAGCUUCUGAUGCACGGCAGUCAAUUAAUAAAUGAUUGUUGCCUGAAAAACUGAGCCCCAAAACAAUAUUACAAGUUUAAUAUCAGUAAAGGAUUUAAUGCUUUCUAACAUGAAGAUACCAGAUCUUUUCUAUUCCUGGACUUUUAGAGUUGCUGAUUUUUGUAUAACCCAGAGAUGGAUUUAAAUGCAGAGUGUAUGAACUUCUUCAUUCCUGAGGGAGGACUUAUGAUUUCAUGAGAAAUGCCCUAGGAAAGGGGCCGGGGAGACUGAUGGAGAAGAAGAGUUUGGGAGGGAAGCCCCAAGGACCAUCUGCCCCAUCAGAGUCACAUGCAGAGGGUCCUGCUCCUGCCGUUGGAAGUUGGCUUCCUGAGCUGCUGAACGUGCCAGUCCUGCUGACCCACUCUCAGAUAUCACAGGCACCCGCUGUGUCUGACAGAGACCUUUCUGCAAGUACACGUGCAGGUCUGCUCUGCAAAGGCGUUAUCAUCUGCAGAUUAUUGCACAGAGUGGCUACGAGCUGUGGUGUGAUCCUGUCACAGAGAGAGCCUGGUCACGUUUUCAGAACAGCAGGAAACAGGUACACCUGUAAGCUUAUACUUAUCAGAUUUAAAAAUAAAACAAAAAAUCCAUGCUAUUCCAUGAAAAUCGGACUCAAAUAAACUUAGUCACUGAUCUGUGAAGUAAAUAAUCUGAUGGUAAUGCAUCAGUUGACACUUGGGCCUGGGUUUUUAGGCACUAAUGAAAGCCAGGGGCAAAAUAAUUUUUAAUCUACCAUUAUUUCCCUUGAUGGUUC